GGAAAAUAAUAGAGAUAAUAGGAAGGCUGAGGCUGGAGGAUGACUUGAGUCCAGGAGUUCUGGGCUGGUAGUGAACUAUGCCAAUUGGGUAUCUGCACUAAGUUAGCAAUGAAUAUGUGUCUUCCUGGGAGCAGGGGUGACCAUCAGGUUGCCUAAGGAGGGGUGAACUGGCCCAGAUCAGAAACAGAACAGGUCAAAAUUCCUGAGCUGAUCAAGAGUGGGAUCAUACCUGUAAAUAGCCACUGCACUCCAGCCUGGGCAACAUAGUGAGACCCUGCCUCU
RNAcentral lists this signal recognition particle RNA (282 nucleotides) under Carlito syrichta (Philippine tarsier). RNAcentral's name for it is "Metazoan signal recognition particle RNA (ENSTSYG00000030636.1)". It matches the Rfam family "Metazoan signal recognition particle RNA". Rfam says of the family: The signal recognition particle (SRP) is a universally conserved ribonucleoprotein. The record is from RNAcentral. Lineage: Eukaryota; Metazoa; Chordata; Mammalia; Primates; Tarsiidae.